This 253-nucleotide ribosomal RNA is filed under the name uncultured bacterium. Its description in RNAcentral is "partial 16S ribosomal RNA". It matches the Rfam family "Bacterial small subunit ribosomal RNA", at positions 524 to 776 of the family's 1533-position model. The record is from RNAcentral.
UACAGUGACUGCAAGCGUUACUCGGAUUCACUGGGCGUAAAGGGAGCGCAGGCGGACCGGUGUGUCAGAUGUGAAACCCCAGGGCUCAACCCUGGGACUGCGUCUGAAACUGCCGGUCUAGGGACUCGGAGGGGCUAGUGGAAUUCCUGGUGGAGCAGUGAAAUGCGUAGAUAUCAGGAGGAACACCAACGGCGAAGGCAGCUAGCUGGACGAGAUCCGACGCUCAGGCUCGAAAGUAUGGGGAGCAAAAAGG